UCCUGUUGUCCUUAUCUGACCUUGUUGACUCUUUUUGCAUUCUAUCAGAAGAGUUACAGUUUAGCCUUUUGCUAAGUUGCAGCUUUUUCCUAUCUAGCAUCUCCAUUCGAAGGAGUAAGUUUUUUCUCUUCAGCUCAGAUGCCUUUGGGCUUAAGUCUUUCAAUGAUUGCAGCCUCUUCAUAUAUAAGGUCUCUUCAAGUUGCUGCUGGUAGCUCAUCUUCUCUACUGCUAUCUCUUUAUCCUUUUUCUUACACAAAUUUAAGCUUCGGAUGUUGUCUAUUUGCUGGUUAUACAAUCUCACCAUACUUGGCUCCAAAUC
RNAcentral lists this long non-coding RNA (319 nucleotides) under Elaeis guineensis (African oil palm). RNAcentral describes it as "long non-coding RNA (EGUI_LNC013607)". The record is from RNAcentral. Lineage: Eukaryota; Viridiplantae; Streptophyta; Magnoliopsida; Arecales; Arecaceae.